Molecule: ribosomal RNA, 500 nt
Filed under: uncultured bacterium
Lineage: Bacteria
Description: partial 16S ribosomal RNA
Rfam family: Bacterial small subunit ribosomal RNA
Source: RNAcentral
AUUGAACGCUGGCGGCAGGCCUAACAUAUGCAAGUCGAGCGGAUGACGGGAGCUUGCUCCUUGAUUCAGCGGCGGACGGGUGAGUAAUGCCUAGGAAUCUGCCUGGUAGUGGGGGACAACGUUUCGAAAGGAACGCUAAUACCGCAUACGUCCUACGGGAGAAAGCAGGGGACCUUCGGGCCUUGCGCUAUCAGAUGGGCCUAGGUCGGAUUAGCUAGUUGGUGGGGUAAUGGCUCACCAAGGCGACGAUCCGUAACUGGUCUGAGAGGAUGAUCAGUCACACUGGAACUGAGACACGGUCCAGACUCCUACGGGAGGCAGCAGUGGGGAAUAUUGGACAAUGGGCGAAAGCCUGAUCCAGCCAUGCCGCGUGUGUGAAGAAGGUCUUCGGAUUGUAAAGCACUUUAAGUUGGGAGGAAGGGCAGUCAGUUAAUACCUGGUUGUUUUGACGUUACCAACAGAAUAAGCACCGGCUAACUUCGUGCCAGCCGCCGCAGUAA